UAUCCUGUCUGAAUAUGGGGGGACCAUCCUCCAAGGCUAAAUACUCCUGACUGACCGAUAGUGAACCAGUACCGUGAGGGAAAGGCGAAAAGAACCCCGGCGAGGGGAGUGAAAAAGAACCUGAAACCGUGUACGUACAAGCAGUGGGAGCACAGGUUUACCUGUGUGACUGCGUACCUUUUGUAUAAUGGGUCAGCGACUUAUAUUCUGUAGCAAGGUUAACCGUAUAGGGGAGCCGGAGGGAAACCGAGUCUUAAUUGGGCGUUAAGUUGCAGGGUAUAGACCCGAAACCCGGUGAUCUAGCCAUGGGCAGGUUGAAGGUUGGGUAACACUAACUGGAGGACCGAACCGACUAAUGUUGAAAAAUUAGCGGAUGACCUGUGGCUGGGGGUGAAAGGCCAAUCAAACCGGGAGAUAGCUGGUUCUCCCCGAAAGCUAUUUAGGUAGCGCCUCGUGAAUUCAUCUCCGGGGGUAGAGCACUGUUUCGGCUAGGGGGCCAUCCCGGCUUACCAACCCGAUGCAAACUGCGAAUACCGGAGAAUGUUAUCACGGGAGACACACGGCGGGUGCUAACGUCCGUCGUGAAGAGGGAAACAACCCAGACCGCCAGCUAAGGUCCCAAAGUCAUGGUUAAGUGGGAAACGAUGUGGGAAGGCCCAGACAGCCAGGAUGUUGGCUUAGAAGCAGCCAUCAUUUAAAGAAAGCGUAAUAGCUCACUGGUCGAGUCGGCCUGCGCGGAAGAUGUAACGGGGCUAAACCAUGCACCGAAGCUGCGGCAGCGACGCUUAUGCGUUGUUGGGUAGGGGAGCG
Molecule: ribosomal RNA, 810 nt
Filed under: Salmonella enterica
Lineage: Bacteria; Pseudomonadati; Pseudomonadota; Gammaproteobacteria; Enterobacterales; Enterobacteriaceae
Also listed under: 1 other name
Description: partial 23S ribosomal RNA
Rfam family: Bacterial large subunit ribosomal RNA
Source: RNAcentral